UUUAUGGAGAGUUUGAUCCUGGCUCAGGACGAACGCUGGCGGCGUGCUUAACACAUGCAAGUCGAACGGAAAGGCCCCAGCUUGCUGGGGUACUCGAGUGGCGAACGGGUGAGUAACACGUGGGUGAUCUGCCCUGCACUUCGGGAUAAGCCUGGGAAACUGGGUCUAAUACCGGAUAGGACCAUCGUUUAGUGUCGGUGGUGGAAAGUUUUUCGGUGCAGGAUGAGCCCGCGGCCUAUCAGCUUGUUGGUGGGGUAAUGGCCUACCAAGGCGUCGACGGGUAGCCGGCCUGAGAGGGUGGACGGCCACAUUGGGACUGAGACACGGCCCAGACUC
Molecule: ribosomal RNA, 336 nt
Filed under: Candidatus Corynebacterium faecigallinarum
Lineage: Bacteria; Bacillati; Actinomycetota; Actinomycetes; Mycobacteriales; Corynebacteriaceae
Description: bacterial SSU rRNA
Rfam family: Bacterial small subunit ribosomal RNA
Source: RNAcentral